CGGGGCGUGGCGCAGGCCGGUAGCGCGCCUGGUUUGGGACCAGGAGGUCGCCGGUUCAAAUCCGGCCGCCCCGAC
Molecule: transfer RNA, 75 nt
Filed under: bacterium HR33
Lineage: Bacteria
Description: tRNA-Pro
Rfam family: tRNA
About the family: Transfer RNA (tRNA) molecules are approximately 80 nucleotides in length. Their secondary structure includes four short double-helical elements and three loops (D, anti-codon, and T loops).
Source: RNAcentral